AGUGAACGCUGGCGGUAGGCCUAACACAUGCAAGUCGAACGGCAGCACAGUAAGAGCUUGCUCUUACGGGUGGCGAGUGGCGGACGGGUGAGGAAUACAUCGGAAUCUACUUUUUCGUGGGGGAUAACGUAGGGAAACUUACGCUAAUACCGCAUACGACCUACGGGUGAAAGCAGUGGAUCUUCGGACCUUGCGCGAUUGAAUGAGCCGAUGUCGGAUUAGCUAGUUGGCGGGGUAAAGGCCCACCAAGGCGACGAUCCGUAGCUGGUCUGAGAGGAUGAUCAGCCACACUGGAACUGAGACACGGUCCAGACUCCUACGGGAGGCAGCAGUGGGGAAUAUUGGACAAUGGGCGCAAGCCUGAUCCAGCCAUACCGCGUGAGUGAAGAAGGCCUUCGGGUUGUAAAGCCCUUUUGUUGGGAAAGAAAAGCAGCAGGUUAAUACCCCGCUGUUCUGACGGUACCCAAAGAAUAAGCACCGGCUAACUUCGUG
Molecule: ribosomal RNA, 492 nt
Filed under: uncultured bacterium
Lineage: Bacteria
Description: partial 16S ribosomal RNA
Rfam family: Bacterial small subunit ribosomal RNA
Source: RNAcentral